AGCAUCAAGUCUACUAAACAUGGCAAGUUUAACACAAGACGUUCGAACUGUUGCAUUCUAUGCCCUCAUGAGUCACAAUUAAUUGAACCCGGGACCGCACCAUACCAUAGCAUUUGAUUUAGUGAAGACCAAUAUUCACAACAGUAAUAAUCAUUUCAAAGGGGCUUUCACUGCUCCGAUUCAUGGUGCAUAUGGGUUCAUAUACGCAUUGCGAAUGCCUUGCAAUGGGUAUGGAACAUUUGAAAUCAUAAAAAAUGACGAGGUCGAAGGAACAAUCCAUGUCAAUGUCGAAAAUGGAUUUACUGGUCAAUUAUCGACAGGAAGCAUCGUUGUUGUCUUAAAUAUUGGAGAUACGGUGUAUGUUAGAACCCACUUUACCAAUACACCUUCUGGUCUGAUUUUAAGCGAAAUCAAUGGUAGUCCGUAUUUUGCUUGAUGGCUGAUUU
This 446-nucleotide long non-coding RNA is filed under the name Mytilus galloprovincialis (Mediterranean mussel). The record is from RNAcentral. Lineage: Eukaryota; Metazoa; Mollusca; Bivalvia; Mytilida; Mytilidae.